CAGAAAUGUGCAAAGGAGAAUGUCAGUCUUGCAUGGAUUCUGUAGAUGGAGAUAGUGUUUUAUGACCUGUUUCUGGGAGAGAAAGACAUGGACAAGUCUCAUCCUGCAUCUGCAGGCUAAGUGGUCCUUCAAGACUCAAAGGCUGAGAAGUGCCAGUCUGUGCUUGGAAAUGGGAGAUGGAGACACACCUAAGUGUGAUGGUGUGCCUGGCUGCAACCUGGGGAGCAUGGCUGGACUCCCACAGCUGGGUGUGUGAGCAUUUCACAGAUUCCAUACGGAGAGAUGUCAUACAGCAAAGGAUCCAGAAUCCUGUGUGCCAGCUUCAUUUGCAAGUCCCGUCCUCUCAAAGAGAUUAGACUAGACCUGAAGAAGCUUUGGAGAAGUCAUCAGUUACAUUCAAAGGUCUGAGAAAGCCCCGUUGUGAGGAACAACUAAGCAGAGCAGGACUCUUCAACCUAGAGAGAACUGAGGAGUCUGUGGCAGAUGCCUACAAAACUGAAAGCAGC
RNAcentral lists this long non-coding RNA (506 nucleotides) under Anas platyrhynchos platyrhynchos (common mallard). RNAcentral's name for it is "lncRNA (ENSAPLG00000026177.1)". The record is from RNAcentral. Lineage: Eukaryota; Metazoa; Chordata; Aves; Anseriformes; Anatidae.